UGGGGAAUAUUGGACAAUGGGCGCAAGCCUGAUCCAGCAAUGCCGCGUGAGUGAUGAAGGCCUUAGGGUUGUAAAGCUCUUUUGGCGGGGACGAUGAUGACGGUACCCGCAGAAUAAGCCCCGGCUAACUUCGUGCCAGCAGCCGCGGUAAUACGAAGGGGGCUAGCGUUGUUCGGAAUGACUGGGCGUAAAGGGCGCGUAGGCGGCUGAUCAAGUCAGAGGUGAAAUCCCCGGGCUCAACCCGGGAAUUGCCUUUGAGACUGGUCGGCUUGAGAGCGGGAGAGGUGAGUGGAAUUCCCAGUGUAGAGGUGAAAUUCGUAGAUAUUGGGAAGAACACCAGUGGCGAAGGCGGCUCACUGGCCCGUUUCUGACGCUGAGGCGCGAAAGCGUGGGGAGCAAA
RNAcentral lists this ribosomal RNA (400 nucleotides) under uncultured bacterium. RNAcentral's name for it is "bacterial SSU rRNA". It matches the Rfam family "Bacterial small subunit ribosomal RNA", at positions 355 to 772 of the family's 1533-position model. The record is from RNAcentral.